RNAcentral lists this ribosomal RNA (519 nucleotides) under Candida albicans. Its description in RNAcentral is "LSU rRNA". It matches the Rfam family "Eukaryotic large subunit ribosomal RNA", at positions 121 to 655 of the family's 3401-position model. Lineage: Eukaryota; Fungi; Ascomycota; Pichiomycetes; Serinales; Debaryomycetaceae. The record is from RNAcentral.
UCUGGCGUCUUUGGCGUCCGAGUUGUAAUUUGAAGAAGGUAUCUUUGGGCCCGGCUCUUGUCUAUGUUCCUUGGAACAGGACGUCACAGAGGGUGAGAAUCCCGUGCGAUGAGAUGACCCGGGUCUGUGUAAAGUUCCUUCGACGAGUCGAGUUGUUUGGGAAUGCAGCUCUAAGUGGGUGGUAAAUUCCAUCUAAAGCUAAAUAUUGGCGAGAGACCGAUAGCGAACAAGUACAGUGAUGGAAAGAUGAAAAGAACUUUGAAAAGAGAGUGAAAAAGUACGUGAAAUUGUUGAAAGGGAAGGGCUUGAGAUCAGACUUGGUAUUUUGCAUGCUGCUCUCUCGGGGGCGGCCGCUGCGGUUUACCGGGCCAGCAUCGGUUUGGAGCGGCAGGAUAAUGGCGGAGGAAUGUGGCACGGCUUCUGCUGUGUGUUAUAGCCUCUGACGAUACUGCCAGCCUAGACCGAGGACUGCGGUUUUUACCUAGGAUGUUGGCAUAAUGAUCUUAAGUCGCCCGUCUU